AAUCCAUCUCUCCCCAUUCCUUGAUCUGUCACACUAACCCCUGGCUAGUGCACAUCAUAAUGUGCAGAGAACCUGAAGAGAAGAGCAAUGUUUUCACCUGCUUCCAGAUGACGAGUGGGCAUCUCGCUCAAUGGCAUGAAAAUAAGACUCCUUUUGCUACUACCCACAUCCUCCUGAACAGGUCCGGCACAACUGAUGGAUCUCGCUUUCACUCCACUGCUGGUUACAGCCUUUCCAGAGCCUUCUUCACUUGGUGGUGUUUGAUGGCAGCUUCACUUCUGCUUUACUGUCUCCUGGCAACUUUAUUUUAAGAUUUCUUCACUUCAAAAGAUUACUGAUGAUGGAAGAGUGGCAGGAACAGGAGCAGAAGCUUCUUUCCCCACUGCCCAGUGGGGAGAAGUGGGAUUCCCCAGUUCUCUUACCAUUCUGCAGUGUUUGGAGGAUAAAUGUUGUGUAUCUCCUCUCAUUUUUAAUUUUGCCAUUGCCACCUGGUGUUACCCACCUUGUUUACCCAUUAAAAAAAUAAAGAAGAGACAAAUGAUAUUUUCCAGGAACACAGCUUUUCAAAAUCUCCUUAUGGCAUUCAAAUGGAGCUCAGAGAUGGUUUUAUGCCAUUAAAAUGUUGAAAGUGUGGACUCUGUGA
Haemorhous mexicanus (house finch) is the source of this 643-nucleotide long non-coding RNA. RefSeq lists it as uncharacterized. The record is from RefSeq and is a predicted model, not a curated record. The transcript is spliced from 4 exons. NCBI's taxonomy places the organism in Eukaryota, Metazoa, Chordata, Aves, Passeriformes, Fringillidae.